GUGGGGAAUUUUGGACAAUGGGCGAAAGCCUGAUCCAGCAAUGCCGCGUGUGUGAAGAAGGCCUUCGGGUUGUAAAGCACUUUUGUCCGGAAAGAAAUCCUUUGGGUUAAUACCUCGGAGGGAUGACGGUACCGGAAGAAUAAGGACCGGCUAACUACGUGCCAGCAGCCGCGGUAAUACGUAGGGUCCGAGCGUUAAUCGGAAUUACUGGGCGUAAAGCGUGCGCAGGCGGGUUUGUAAGACAGAUGUGAAAUCCCCGGGCUUAACCUGGGAAUUGCAUUUGUGACUGCAAGGCUAGAGUGAGUCAGAGGGGGGUAGAAGUCCACGUGUAGCAGUGAAAUGCGUAGAGAUGUGGAGGAAUACCGAUGGCGAAGGCAGCCCCCUGGGAUAACACUGACGCUCAUGCACGAAAGCGUGGGGAGCAAACAGGAUUAGAAACCCGUGUAGUCC
This 450-nucleotide ribosomal RNA is filed under the name uncultured bacterium. Its description in RNAcentral is "partial 16S ribosomal RNA". It matches the Rfam family "Bacterial small subunit ribosomal RNA", at positions 354 to 796 of the family's 1533-position model. The record is from RNAcentral.